AGAAUCAACGCUGGCGGCGUGCCUAACACAUGCAAGUCGAACGAGAAAGUGGGAGCAAUCCCAUGAGUAAAGUGGCGCACGGGUGAGUAACACGUGACUAACCUACCCUUGAGUGGGGGAUAACCUAGGGAAACCUGGGCUAAUACCGCAUAAUACCUACGGGUCAAAGGAGCAAUUCGCUUUAGGAGGGGGUCGCGGCAGAUUAGUUAGUUGGCGGGGUAAUGGCCCACCAAGACAGUGAUCUGUAUCCGGCCUGAGAGGGCGCACGGACACACUGGAACUGAAACACGGUCCAGACUCCUACGGGAGGCAGCAGUGGGGAAUUUUGCGCAAUGGGGGAAACCCUGACGCAGCAACGCCGCGUGGAGGAUGAAGCCCUUGGGGCGUAAACUCCUUUCGAUCGGGAAGAUAAUGACGGUACCGGAAGAAGAAGCCCCGGCUAACUCGCGCCAGCAGCCGC
This 460-nucleotide ribosomal RNA is filed under the name uncultured bacterium. Its description in RNAcentral is "SSU rRNA". It matches the Rfam family "Bacterial small subunit ribosomal RNA", at positions 26 to 518 of the family's 1533-position model. The record is from RNAcentral.